UACGAAGGGGGCUAGCGUUGCUCGGAAUGACUGGGCGUAAAGGGCGUGUAGGCGGUUUUGACCGUCAGAUGUGAAAACCCCGGGCUUAACCUGGGAGCUGCAUUUGAGACGUUAAGACUAGAGUGUGAGAGAGGGUUGUGGAAUUCCCAGUGUAGAGGUGAAAUUCGUAGAUAUUGGGAAGAACACCGGUAGCGAAGGCGGCAACCUGGCUCAUUACUGACGCUGAAGCGCGAAAGCGUGGGGAGCAAACAGG
This 253-nucleotide ribosomal RNA is filed under the name uncultured bacterium. RNAcentral describes it as "partial 16S ribosomal RNA". It matches the Rfam family "Bacterial small subunit ribosomal RNA", at positions 524 to 776 of the family's 1533-position model. The record is from RNAcentral.